This 3595-nucleotide ribosomal RNA is filed under the name Triticum aestivum (bread wheat). RNAcentral's name for it is "partial small subunit ribosomal RNA". The record is from RNAcentral. Lineage: Eukaryota; Viridiplantae; Streptophyta; Magnoliopsida; Poales; Poaceae.
GAAAAAAUCUCUCUCUCGUCUUCUCCUCGAGUGGCGGCUAGGGUUCCGCCUCCCUCCCACCAGCCGCCGCCUCUUCCGCCACACUCGUCCCCUCCUCGCUAUGUGUGCCGCCUCCACCCACCAUCCCUCGCCUUCCCCCUCUGGUCUCGUCCUUCGAUGGCAGAAAACUGACACCCUGAGGAGGUCGUUCCCGGCGCCCGCAUCCUCGUCGUCGACCUUGCCCAAACGGCAGGUCGCUGCUGCUGGCCGAGGUCGCCCAGGUCAUCACCGCCCCCGCCGGCCUGCAGCUCAUCCUACCCAAGGGCAGGGUAUGUACAGUCGCUUGCUCCCCCUUCCUCCCCCUGUCGAUCUCCAGAGGUGUUGAUUUGUUGGGUUGUUCGAUUCAGUGCUUCGAGCGAGGAUGACUGUGAGUGGUUGGGCAUGGGAUAGCCUAGCGCCCGUAGAUACAUGAUAGAUUUGUGCUUCACUAAUUGUUACACAUGCAGCUAUCCAAUUACCCCAAGCGGAAUUAAAUUACUUGUAGAAUGAUAGCCGUAAUGUUAUAGUGUUGGUCCCAGUAUCCGGCUAUCCUUUGAUAAAAACAAUUUGUUGCAAAAUUGCAAAAAUAAGUAUGUGCCUUAUUUUCUCAGAUGAAUGCAAGGCGGCUUGCAUAGUUCUCAGACUGGCAUAUGUGGAAUGUGCUAUGUGCCCAACAUCUCUAUCUACUCCACCGUGAUCUAACUCACAUGUCAAAGAAUCACAUAAUACAUUUUGCAUGAAGGAGGUGCAAGAACCUACUUAUCUUGCAAUAGAAAGUACUGCAAGACAUGUUUAUCCAGAGAAUAUUGUGUUGGAUGCUUGCUUCAAAUUGGCUAAUCUAACUCUUCUGAUAGAUAAUAUAGAGGCCAAUCAGUAGUGUUAUGUAUUUCGACCAAUGUCAGCUAAUUUCCAGCUGUAAACAAGCAGGUAUAAUUUAAUAUUCAUUUUCAUGGACUUGAAUCUGAAUAUAUUUUGGUUUAGUACAGUAUCUAAACUAUUACUUUUGGGGUCUGCUAUGAGGCAUUGGGUUUAAAUACUUUCUUAAGAGUUGUGUGAAAUAGCAUUUAUUCCAAGAAAUUGCAAUGUAUAUAGUGCUACUUUAUUUUAUAUUUUUAUUUUAAAAAUUGUUCCUCGACACUUCAAACUCAGAAUUUUUACAAUUAACUCUUAAAUCGGAAAUUAGCUGCCAUGGCCUGAAUUAUCAUGGAUCGAGUGUGUUUUGUGUAAGAUUUUUCUAUUGACAAUCCUUUUAUAUGUACACCUUCUAGGAAGUAUGUGCAUUCCUUCUUGCAGACAGAUAUGUUUUCUCGGGUUGUUGAAUGCUGGAAACGAGGAUUAUCAGUCACAAAAUACAUAACAGACCUUCGGAUCCAUGGAUGUAGCCAGCAAGGGCGCCAUCAACCUGGGCUGCCUUAGAGCUUAGGCAACCAUGCUGUAUUUGAUGUGAACAGUUCAUAUCAAUAGCUCGAUUAACUUGUGUAUGUCUCAUGUGUGGUUGAAUACUAAUUCUAACCCUGUUGCACUCUGUGCUGCCAUUUGAUCUAAAAAACUGAACCAUGAAAGGUUCACUGUUAAAUCAGUAUGCGACAUGGUGACGGUUGCAAAAUACUGGAAUGUCACAAUCAUCGUGUCGUACAUGGAUAAAACUUCAUUUUGGGUUGCCCAGUGAGUUCCAAGAUAUAUUUGAUGUAGACUACUUCAUAGCAUCAUUGAGAGAUGAGGUCCGGAUACUGCAAGAGCUGCCUCCAAGGCUGAAAAGGAGAGUUGAAUAGGGAUAUCCUUGCUCCUUGCCGCCCUUCAGUUGGUCUGAUACAUCCUAUUACCAUAAUCAGGUUUCUUUGCAUCUCUCCAUUUCUCGUGAUGUAUCUAAAUCAUAUGCGUACCCAAAUAAAUAUUGUAAGUAGUAAUUUAUGGGAAAACAUAUUUUACCAAUGAUAAAGAAGUGCAUGGUCCUUCAUAUGAAUAAAUCACGUGCACGGCUUGAAAAUAAUGGGCUACCCAUGGAGAUUCAGAAACCGAGGUGCCAUUUCAGUUUUCAUGCACUUGGAUUUACCCCCUAAAACAGAAGAGUUGGGCAGGUGUGUGGUUCAAAUUCUUCGUCGGAAUGGACCCUUUUGUGGUUCUCCACUUGUGGUAUAAGAUGGACAUACUUGCCUUCUCUGGGUGUACACAUGGUAGCAGGAAAGAUGAGGCUGAGGAGGGUUAGAAGGAUGAGAUAUUGCAGUUCUAGCAAGUGGAUCUGCACAAACAAGUAUGUGUUUGACUGUGCAGGUGAUAAGGGAGCUGAAGCUGCUGGACGGCGUCGGUCUUGCAGAGGUCAUCACAAUCCUUGUUCCAAAUAGGUCCGUCGGACUUCGCAUCCCUUGCCUUGCUGCACUCUCCUGGAAGGUAAUGUUUGUCACUUAUUGUGUGUGUGUGUGUGUGUGUAGGAUACGUCGUGAUGAAAAUGAUAUUCUUAAACAACCCUUCAUGUUUGGGCACAAGUUGACUCUUCCCACCGUGUAUAGAGAUGAUUGAAUUCUCAAGUCCCGUCAAUUGCUUUGCCAUGUUUUGUAAGAGAAAAUGUAUGUGUUGAUUACUACUGUGUUUUUGGUUAGUUGUUGAACCUGGCAAUGUGUGUGUAUUACUUGACACUGUACAUUUGAUGCUUCAUGGUGUUCCAAUACGGCCCCAUCUAGCUAAGCUUGUUGGUAGUAUUGGACAAAAGCAAUAGAUAUUUCGACUUUGACAAAUUAGGAUAUGUCUGUUUCAAGCGUGUUGUGCUUAUGUUUAAUUUACUCUUGUGCGUGAGGUUUUCUCAUUGUCCCUAGCUCUGUACAUUGUUCCUGUUGUUUAGUAAAGCUUUAUAAUGAUGCAUUGGGUUUAGAACCACAACCACAAUCUCUUCCUAUUUUUUAUCAUCUUGUUUAGAACCACAACCUACGAUCUCUUCCUAUUUUUUAUCAUCUUCUUGUUUAGUACCACAACAGAUAAGCAUCACUUGAGACUCCUUCUCUAAACAAGUAAGCAUCAUGGGCAGUGGGUAUGAGGAGGACAUUGGAAAAAUGAUAUUUGGGGUGGUGAUUUCCCCAAAUGCUGCUUGGUUAGAUGAUAUAUCUCCUGAUAAUGCAGUGUGUUUUCAUUUUUGUGAGUUUGACCUUUUUUAGAAAGAUUUUCAAUUGCAGGCCUGUCUCUUAUGGAUGGAUGGUCACAUGGGAGUAAUCAGUUGACUAACUAUGAAGAUUGCUAGGAUUGACAAAAACGCAAAAAUGAUCCAGUCGGUGGAACUAUUAUAAAACUCCUGAAGGAGGUAACCCUUUACAAAAGGGUGCAAGUGUUACUGUCUCCUGCUAUAUUUGACAGUAAAAAAACCAGUCAACAAGUAGUCAAGUAUUCUUGAUUGAAAGUCUGCAAGUAAUCAAGUGGUCUUACGGAAGGCCAUUCUAGAAGAUCUUUGCUUGUUGUAGCUAUACAAUUUACCUCAAUUUUUUGCCAGUUGCUAGCACCGUAUUUUAAUCUUUGUGGCUUUGGCGAGGAUUUUUCUGUCCGCUCUUUUUCUUGUACCAAAUUAACUCCUUUGACUCUAAUGCAAUUAAGC